This 178-nucleotide ribosomal RNA is filed under the name Escherichia coli. RNAcentral describes it as "partial 23S ribosomal RNA". It matches the Rfam family "Bacterial large subunit ribosomal RNA", at positions 2765 to 2925 of the family's 2925-position model. The record is from RNAcentral. RNAcentral also lists the same sequence under 2 other names. Lineage: Bacteria; Pseudomonadati; Pseudomonadota; Gammaproteobacteria; Enterobacterales; Enterobacteriaceae.
UAAGUGCUGAAAGCAUCUAAGCACGAAACUUGCCCCGAGAUGAGUUCUCCCUGACUCCUUGAGAGUCCUGAAGGAACGUUGAAGACGACGACGUUGAUAGGCCGGGUGUGUAAGCGCAGCGAUGCGUUGAGCUAACCGGUACUAAUGAACCGUGAGGCUUAACCUUACAACGCCGAAG